RNAcentral lists this ribosomal RNA (253 nucleotides) under uncultured bacterium. RNAcentral's name for it is "partial 16S ribosomal RNA". It matches the Rfam family "Bacterial small subunit ribosomal RNA", at positions 524 to 776 of the family's 1533-position model. The record is from RNAcentral.
UACGUAGGGUGCGAGCGUUAAUCGGAAUUACUGGGCGUAAAGGGCGCGCAGGCGGCGAGUUUUGUCAGGCGUGAAAGCCCCGGGCUCAACCUGGGAACUGCGCUUGAAACGGGCUUGCUAGAGAUCGGGAGAGGAGAGUGGAAUUCCCAGUGUAGAGGUGAAAUUCGUAGAUAUUGGGAAGAGCACCAGUGGCGAAGGCGGCUCUCUGGACCGACACUGACGCUGAGGCGCGAAAGCGUGGGGAGCAAACAGG